Molecule: long non-coding RNA, 2082 nt
Filed under: Apis mellifera (honey bee)
Lineage: Eukaryota; Metazoa; Arthropoda; Insecta; Hymenoptera; Apidae
Description: uncharacterized LOC107965965
Source: RNAcentral
UAAUAUAUUCGAUUAAAUAUUUAUUCGCAAUGUUCGUACAACAAUUUUCAAUAAUUUUGCAAUAUAUAUAUGCAAGAGGCAUUACGCAUAGCGACCGCGUAACGCGUUUUUCGUACGAUUCCUUUUUCCGCCAGUAGCGCACGCGCUGAUUAACCUCGUGGCUGGUUCCGAUGUGCUUAGCCAAUGUUGUAGCAGCGCCGUUAGCUACAUGACGAUUUUUUGUAGUGUUAGUGCGACGUAUACAUAUGCGUGCACUGUUGCACACUAUUCAAUGCGCUCCAAGAAUUACCAAGUAGUGGAAUGUCACGUGAUACCGUCUUGUGGGUAUAUAAAGACGACCGAUUGCUGGUGGAAUCAGCCACUUGCGAAUUGGCUCUGAGGUUUGUGCUAUGGCUUGUUCCUUUUAUACUGACUAAGGAUUUCGAUAUAUAAGAUUGUUUAUCUUAAAGCAAGAGAAUCAUCGAAGAAAUUAUUUCCUAUUGUAUUACUUACGAUAUUAUUGAGAAAAAAGUGAAAAAAUAAUAAUAUACAUAUAUAUAUAUAAACAAAUAGCGAAUUAUAAAAAAAGACUCAUGUGAAAAUUAUUUGAGGUAGGUCAUUGAUUUCAAUGAUGGAUAGAAAAGUGACGUAGCUCGAUUACCAACUGCUUGAUCGUCAUAGAGAAAUGGACAACACGCAUGCGCGAGACGUUGCCCCUAUAGCAAGAAGUUCUAGAUAUGUAUAACGCGAAUGCGCAUGCCUACAGAUCAUAGAAAUAAAUCAAAAAAUAUAUAUAUAUAUAUACAAAUAUGAAUAUAAAUACACGAACAUAUAUAAUAAUAACAUAUUCAUAUAAAUAUAUAUUGAUAUGUCAAUUUUGAGAUUUUAUAAUCAAAAAUUGACUACAUUAUCUAUAAAAAACGAAUCUAGUGAGAUACAUAUUUUCAAAGUGGAGAGUUACCACGAUAACCACGAUAAAGAUCUCAUUUUAUGCGCAUGUAUUUGUUGCGUCUGGUAAAAUAUGUGAACGUCCUACACUGAAAGAGAGAGAUAGAGAAAAAGACGUGACGCAUGUGUCAGAGUCUGUGCAUCGGUUCCAAGGCCCUCUCCGAGCACUGCCUCCCGAGGAUUUCAACUUCUUUUUGUCCGGCGUUCAAGGUGAACCCGUACAAGAAAAAAAAUUCCCCAGUUCUCCUGAUUGUCAGAUAGCAAUACGGGACAGAAAAUAUACUGACCUACUGACUCUUUCAUAAGGGAUUUCCGGCAUUAGUAUUCAAUUGUUAUGUGUUAUAGUAACUAUUGAUUGUCAUUAUCCAAUUACAAGAAAUUUUCUGAUGUUGGAUAUAAAGUGCCACAAUUAAUCGCAAUCUAAACGCCAUCAUGAUUGUCGUGAAAUGAUUAAAUUUAAUGAACGCAUUAGAUCUGCGUUUAUGGAUCGCCUUAACGUACAAAUGAAGAAACGAUCGGUUGAUUUCGCGACCGCCCUAGCUGGGAGUCUGCUAAUAAAAGACGUUGCGCAAUCGUGGACGUUGGUGUUGCGCCGUAGAUAAUAAUAAGAACGUAGACUGACGAAGUGGAGAGAUCGGGUAGGGGAGAAGAGAGAAAGAAAGAGAGAUAGGACCUCUCUUUUUGCCUCCGUGUGUGUUCCUUCUUUCGAUACUAUCGAUGAAUAUGUGUGCAUACGCGAAUGCACAAACAUAAUAUUUUGUCGCGCAUGAGUUGUUGCGAAUCGCAGCGGCCGCGCACUAGUGCACUGGUGCAAUGAAAUCGAAGAGAAACUCUCGACUGAACCCAUAUUGUAUUUAUGGCUUCUUUCGAAGCUAUGGAUAAAUUCUUUGAAAUCUUUAAGAAAAUUAUAAUUUUCUCGUUUUUUAUUUUUAAUUUUUAAUCUUAUUUUUUUUUUAUCUCGUUUUAUUAAGAAAACAUUUUUUUUUAUUUUUUAUUUGGUUUUCGUAUUUCACUUUCGAUAAAGAAAUGUUUGUAAAUGGAAUCAAUCUAUAUUGAGAAUCAAAACACAUUAAUUAAAAUGUGAAAUUUCUAUCAUCAGUAUUUAUGAUCGAGAAUUGUCAUGAAAUUGUUUUGUCGAAUAACAUUCAUUUAUAA